AUUGAAUCUAACAAAGUGUUGCUUUUUCAAAGUCAUAUCAACCAGUCAUAUUUCAUUCGUUUCAGACAAGGUUUUCUUGCGUGAAAUGGACAUAGAAUUGGAAAAUCACCACUUACAAAACUCUCAAGAAGCCAAGAAAGAAGUUGAUUCUCAUUACGAACACCCGGAAAGAUACUACUCUGAUUACAGUCUUUCAUUAUUAUACCACUAUGUGGAGAAGAAGAUGACCAUUACAUAUUUAAUUUUUCCCAUGAUCCACAUCCCUCGGCUGAAACCAUUCUGAAGAUAACGAAUUUCAUAAAAGAAAUGGGCGAACAGUGGGCGGGUGUUUCUUUGUAUCUGUCCGGAUGCACUCGCAUGAAAAAAUUUCCAAGUCUGUACUAGAUAUGGAAUUUAGUUCUUAAUUUGAGAGAUGAGAUAUUUAUACACGAGUGUUUUAAUAUUACAUGACGAUAUUUCAAUUUAUAGAGUUAAUA
Non-coding RNA from Styela clava, 476 nucleotides. NCBI's taxonomy places the organism in Eukaryota, Metazoa, Chordata, Ascidiacea, Stolidobranchia, Styelidae. The record is from RefSeq and is a predicted model, not a curated record.